CUCUGGCCGCCGGCCGCCCGCGAAGGGAAGAAGCCAUGCCGCCCGACGCAGCAGCCAACCCGGAGUACGCCUUGUGCCAGGCUUACGUGCGCCUGAAGGGACUGGCCGUGCUCGCCGUGGGUACGGGAGCGGCCUUUGCGGUUCUCAGGAAGCCCCUUUCCCUCCCCUGGAGCGCGCUCUUCUCCCUGGCUCUGGUUGGCUUACCCACCUAUGCAAUUACCCGGAGGCAGCUGAAGAACUGUGCUGACUUGUGGGACUUCCAGACCACCCCCUCCAAAAAAGUAGCCCAAAGGUGAGAGCAGGGCAAGGUUGGAGCAGUUCAAAGGCUUGCAGCCAUAUUGCAAAUCCCAACCGGGCAGGACACAAGGCCUGACUGUUCACACCCAACAGCUCACCUGCCAGCAAGUGGUGAAGCAUCAGGUGCCCUCCAAGCAGCGUUUCGGGAGCUGCUUCCUUUUUCGGCUUUAUUCUCCUCAAAAGACAGGCGCUCCACCUUCCUUCAGGCAGCAGGAGAGCAACAGUCCGGUGGCUGAGAUGGGCUGGCACCUUUAUGGGCACUGGAUCCAGUCAGGCCCCUGGUUUCACCACAGCCCAGAGUGGGAAAGUGACGUUUGACCUUCAGGCCUCCAGGAUCUUGUGCAAUUAAAGUUAUUUUGCUCG
RNAcentral lists this long non-coding RNA (660 nucleotides) under Notechis scutatus (mainland tiger snake). Its description in RNAcentral is "lncRNA (ENSNSUG00000003128.1)". The record is from RNAcentral. Lineage: Eukaryota; Metazoa; Chordata; Lepidosauria; Squamata; Elapidae.